This 447-nucleotide ribosomal RNA is filed under the name uncultured bacterium. Its description in RNAcentral is "bacterial SSU rRNA". It matches the Rfam family "Bacterial small subunit ribosomal RNA", at positions 355 to 825 of the family's 1533-position model. The record is from RNAcentral.
UCGGGAAUUUUGGGCAAUGGGCGAAAGCCUGACCCAGCAACGCCGCGUGAAGGAUGAAGUCUCUCGGGAUGUAAACUUCGUAAGAAUAGGAAGAAUAAAUGACGGUACUAUUUGUAAGGUCCGGCUAACUACGUGCCAGCAGCCGCGGUAAUACGUAGGGACCAAGCGUUGUUCGGAUUUACUGGGCGUAAAGGGCGCGUAGGCGGCGUGGUAAGUCAUCUGUGAAAUCUCCGAGCUUAACUCGGAACGGUCAGAUGAUACUGCUGUGCUAGAGUACAGAAAGGGCAAUCGGAAUUCUUGGUGUAGCGGUGAAAUGCGUAGAUAUCAAGAGGAACACCUGAGGCGAAGGCGGGUUGCUAGGCUGAUACUGACGCUGAGGCGCGAAAGCUAGGGUAGCAAACGGGAUUAGAUACCCCUGUAGUCCCUGAGCGGGCUGGCAAGGCGCAU